RNAcentral lists this ribosomal RNA (253 nucleotides) under uncultured bacterium. RNAcentral's name for it is "partial 16S ribosomal RNA". It matches the Rfam family "Bacterial small subunit ribosomal RNA", at positions 524 to 776 of the family's 1533-position model. The record is from RNAcentral.
GACGUAGGGCGCGAGCGUUGUCCGGAAUUACUGGGCGUAAAGCGCACGUAGGCGGUCAGGCAAGUCGGGUGUGAAAGCCCUGGGCUCAACCUGGGAAUUGCAUUCGAAACUAUCUGACUCGAGUAUGGGAGAGGGAAGCGGAAUUUCCGGUGUAGCGGUGAAAUGCGUAGAUAUCGGAAGGAACACCUGCGGCGAAGGCGGCUUCCUGGCCCAUUACUGACGUUCAGGUACGAAAGCGUGGGUAGCAAACAGG